AUUGGGACCAAACUGUAUAUAAUGAUGGAUGACAAAUGAUAUACUCAAGACAAUCUCAUCGAAUCACAUUAACAACGAGUGUGAGUAUGUUGAGUGAAUGGUAAGGAUAUGUUGCCUUUGCGUUUGCGACUGGGAUUCAAAACUUUUUUCCAUUUAGUCAGUCUAUCCACUAGUAUGUCAGUGGGGAACAACAGCAUACUCAGCUGUGGGGCAUUCAAAACUGGGUGUGGCUCUACCAAACAUUAUGUCACCCCGAGCCAAUAGAAACAGUGGUCUAGAGGAUGUCCACUUUAUUUGUUUAAACUGAUUAGUAUUGUAAAAGUUUUUUGACAUGACUAUAAGGCAUAGUAAACACUAUCAGCUGAAUCCAUUCGAUACAAAUACAAUUUUAGAUUUAAGUCACUAUUGUACAUUUUUUAAAAACAAAUAUGACAAGCUUAAUCCACAUUAUGCACCUUUUUGUCACUUGACCAUCAUGGCACAGUAAGAAAACAAGGCAAUAUUAUACAUUCUGACUUCCAAAUGCAGCAACCUGAAGUCACAAUAUCUUACGUCAAUGUCAGCUAGUAGCUCUUUCUUGAAGUCAGACCUAGCCACGAACAGCCCCGUUUCAUCUGCAUGUCAUCGCUCUGAAUCACCAGCCUGGGCUGGACUGUGUCAAUACCCACUUCCUGUCCGGCGGUGAAGGUGAAUUUCAACAGGGCCUGAGCAGAUCCUUCACCACCGCCCAGACAGACUGUUAGGGGCCCGAUCAGAGGGGUCUUCCAGUGUGGCUGCAGCCUGCUGCUCUGCGGAGCCUGAGACACGGCUGCACAUCCCCACUGUGGCUGCCCAGUUUCCGGCAGAUGCCCCAGCACUGAGCCGGGUGGGAUCCUACCACAAAAUGAGGGUUGCGUAAAAAACAAAAAAAGGAUGAAACGGUGAGAAGAGAGGCUCCCUCCCUCGACCUGAGGACCAACUCUUUCCGCUGGCCGGGGCUCAUGGGAGACCCCCGAGGCGCGCUGUGGUCGACAUGUAGUCCGUCUCCGAGCAGAUGUCAACCUUGUCUUCUUUUUUUCGAGCUGCUGUCACCACAGGCCAGCCGGUGUAACGGAUUUCUUCCUCCUGGGCCACGUCGAGCAGCCGUUGCAGUACGUCCAAACGUCUUCGGCAUCAUACCAUUUCUUAAGACAUUGUGGCUUUAGCAAAUGCUUUACAUGGUAAAGUGUUUCGGGUUGUUUAUUUGUAGCGUAAACAUCUGUCAGGGUCGAGAUGUCUUUCACGUCUUCAAAUACUGCUGCAUAGAAAUUCAACUAAAUAAAUGUUCCCCCCCGCAGAUCUGCACAACAUAUUCUAUAGAUCUACGCAACAUAUUCUACAGAUCUGAACAACAUACUCUACAGAUCUAUGCAACAUAUUCUACAGAUCUAUGAAGCCUACUCAACAGAUCUAGCAGCCUACUCAACAGAUCUAGCAGCCUACUCAACAGAUCUACACAACAUAAUCAACAAUAAUGAUGAUAAUUAUAUAUAUUUUUC
Molecule: long non-coding RNA, 1517 nt
Organism: Esox lucius (northern pike)
Lineage: Eukaryota; Metazoa; Chordata; Actinopteri; Esociformes; Esocidae
Source: Ensembl